RNAcentral lists this unclassified non-coding RNA (1517 nucleotides) under Dermacentor andersoni. RNAcentral describes it as "uncharacterized LOC126523947". Lineage: Eukaryota; Metazoa; Arthropoda; Arachnida; Ixodida; Ixodidae. The record is from RNAcentral.
UCAUUUGCUACUUUCUUCAAAAUUUUUUUUAUGUGAUGCUCCUGCCUUCACAUCCUGUCAGACUGUUCUCCUUCAUGCGUUUCCUUGUACUCUUUCUGUCCGCUUCUUGCUCGACAUACCGUGCAUGCCUUCAGUCAUGUCCAAUUGAUCGAUGCAGUCUUGUCCUUUUCUCUUUCUCCUCCAGAACCUGCAACUUUCGACAACCUAGCAUUAUUUUGCUCCUUUUUGUGAUAGUGCCUGGCUAUCUGUUGCUGAUGCCACACAUUCACUUUGCAAUGGUUUAUUAGACCACAUACAUAAAUUAAUAGCUGUAUAAAACCUUGACCCUCCAGCACUUCCACAAGAUUCAUGCAGAAGUGGAAACAAAGAUUACACUUAAUUCCUCACCACAUGUUACUAUGUCUGCAUCAAAGCUUCAUAUUACCUACAUGUGUGCAGUGUCGUUGCCCAUGCUUCCUGGACAGGAAAGCCAGUUGUUCCAGUUCACAAGGCUAGAACAACUGCGAAGUGAUUUAGCUAUCUCCUUGUGCUGCAGAAACCACAUCUUUUCGCCUGUUGCAUUCCUUUGUGAUGCAUUGAACGUGUCUGCUUCCGUUUCCCCUGCUAUUUUUACAGCGAAGCUGUAUAUGGCUAGGUUCUGACCAUGACUAAUAGUGCAUACAUCGACAGGGUGUGUAGAAAAAAGUUGCGUCUACAAAAUUGAAUCCACAGUAGCCUGCUGUGCGCCAGCAGUGCUCAGUGGCUCCGGAGUGGAUGGCAGAAUAAUAAAACGUCAUUGUGUACCCACCAAUGUCUGUGCCUCGUUUUCUUGUGAAGUUGACAUCGCUCUAGCGACGUUAUCAGCAGUUUUACUUUGGUCCUGCUAUGUCCAGGACGCAUCUAGUCUGUACUGAAGAAGAACAAUGUGCAUGUUAAGAGCACCGGUGUGAGCAACAGCGUGAAGGCAAUGGGCAGCUGCUAUAGCCAGACCCGUCUUGUCUGCAGAUCCGUAAUGUCGGAUAGCUGCUCUGUGACCGAUGAAGAACAGCGUGCCCGUGAGGAUCACCUUUGCAAACAGAAGCGGGAGUGGGCACGAAAGCAUCGGCGACCAAUUACAGUAUAUCACAGUGACUACAAAGCAAUGGUUACCAUGGUGACAAAGUAAAUAGAAAAUCAAAGAUAACGAAGUUGUGUGUUGUGGACGCUUCCAGACACAAGACUGAUUUAUGCAGCAGGCGCUCCUUGGCUGCAUCUGCAAUGCUAGCUCAAGGCGAGAAUGCUUUGGGCACGUUGCCAUCUGCGUCCACAGUCAUCCUGGCACAACUGCCAUGGUGGAAAAGGAAAGUAUCAGCAACGUUCUCACACCUACACUGUCCUUAUUGGUAUGUAGUGUGACUAAAUUCUGCUUCUGCAUUAGUUGUGUUGAUAGCAUGCUUGUUCCAAAUUCUUAUUUGUUCCUUUUGCAAAUUUUCAUCUUGUUCACAGAACUUUCUAAAAGGGGAACGUAUCCAAUAAAAUAAAACACUAAUUUACUUUCA